AACUGUAAAUCACACAAAUAUAUUCCAGUAGAGCCCUACAAUAUAAAUAUAGACCUGGAAACGUGCACGAUAUGGCCCCUUUAAUAACAAUAGCAUACCAUUUAGGUGAGCCAGUUUCUUGGGACUAGAAAGGACUUCUUUUAAUGGCAUUUUGACAUGUCAUUGUAGAAAAAAAAGCAUAGGUAUUACAGCUAAGAUUAACAUCGGCUCUUUUCUAUUCAAGUGUCUCAGUAAGCCAUGACGGUGUGACAGCCAGCCAGCAUGCACAAUAGCAGGACCCCAAACUGAAGCAGCAACAUGCAACACACACACACAGGCAUUAUUCAUUUUAUCAUCACCUGCGCUUUUCCUACUGUGACAUGUCGAAAUGUACUCCAUGAAAAAGGCUCAGUGAAAUGGCUUUGUAGGACACUUGAAUAAACAGCAGAGUCACAGUUAAUGUUAUUAGUUACACCUGUACUUUUCCUAUUACAGGUCAAAUUGUUGGUCUUGAAAAAAAAUGUGUUACUUUCAAGACAACACGUUCCUUAGUUCAACAUAAGUAUCUAGGCCAUGUAAAUGGAAGUUACAGUUGCAGUUUGCAGUUACUCAAAAUGUCAUUGUGCUCAUCAAUGAUUCUCAUUUUAAUUUCAUUUUUAGACUGCAUGCGUGCACAACUAUGUUAAGUACAUAAGUCACCAUUGAAUCAGUUGCUGUAAAUAAAUCAAAUAGACAUUUAAAACAGACAGCUGUUUAAUAAUUUUACAGGCCUUAAAUAGCCACGGUCCACUGCUCACACAGGUGUUUUCACUUUUGGUUAAUUAGGCCUCUUCUCCAGACUGUGUGGGUGUGAACAGACUGUGCUUGAUUGAUAUCCUCACUCCUCUGGACAAUUUACCCAUCUGUCAUUCCAAAAGACCUUUUUCUCAGCAAACAUUUAGACCCUUUAUAGCACGAAAAGCACAGGUGUGAUUAAUAACAUUAACAAUGGCUGAGUUCCAUUAAGUGUCCCAGUAAAUCAUGCCCAUGAUUCAGCAUGCACAAUACUAGAGCCCAGGAACUGGCUCACUUGAAUGAAACACAGUCGUCAUUGAUUUUAUGAAUUACACCUGUGCUUGUACUGCUAUGACAUGUCAAAAUGUCUGCUAUGAAAAAGUUCUGUUAGUGCAUGAAGUUUGAUGACCUCAUAUAAAUAUCAACAUAGCUCCACUUGAACCUGAGCAGACAUCUAAUCAGCCAGAAUAGCAGAUGCAUCUCUUCAGAUCAUUAUAAGCUUCCAGACUGCUAUCCUGCUGCAUGCUGGUCCUCCCCCUCUGACUCUUGGGGCUCCAGAGUGUUUUUCAAAGUGUUUUAAACAGGGACUCUCAGACCAUCUCUGUUUCAGUCAUGCAAAGAGUGCCACUCGUGCAGAGAAUGAGUAAUGGAAGAGUGGGGAGAUCAAUCCUCAUCUACAGACUGCUGGAGUUUAACUUCACUGUUACAGCUUUGUCUGUGUGGGAUUCUCCUGCAGGUGUCGGAAUGCAAGAUCCCUCCUCGAAGGCGACUCCUGGUGGUAAAGUAGGGCUCAGCUCGCCCCUGGGAGU
Molecule: long non-coding RNA, 1562 nt
Organism: Thunnus maccoyii (southern bluefin tuna)
Lineage: Eukaryota; Metazoa; Chordata; Actinopteri; Scombriformes; Scombridae
Exons: 4
Source: RefSeq, a predicted model, not a curated record